This 728-nucleotide ribosomal RNA is filed under the name Phlyctis agelaea. Its description in RNAcentral is "LSU rRNA". It matches the Rfam family "Eukaryotic large subunit ribosomal RNA", at positions 187 to 942 of the family's 3401-position model. The record is from RNAcentral. Lineage: Eukaryota; Fungi; Ascomycota; Lecanoromycetes; Phlyctidaceae.
UCCUUGGAACGGGGCGUCAUAGAGGGUGAGAAUCCCGUACGUUACCGAUCGUCAACCCCGUGUGAGACCCUUUCGACGAGUCGAGUUGUUUGGGAAUGCAGCUCAAAAUGGGUGGUAAAUUUCAUCUAAAGCUAAAUACCGGCCAGAGACCGAUAGCGCACAAGUAGAGUGAUCGAAAGAUGAAAAGCACUUUGAAAAGAGAGUUAAAAAGUAUGUGAAAUUGUUGAAAGGGAAGCGCUUGCAAUCAGACUUGCUCGCGGGUGUUCAGCCGUCCUCGGGGCGGUGCAUUCUCCCGUGAUCAGGCCAGCAUCGGUUUCGGCGGUUGGAUAAAGAUUUCGAGAAUGUAGCUUCCUUCGGGAAGUGUUAUAGCUCGUCUUGCAAUGCAGCCAGCCGGGACCGAGGACCGCGCUUUUUGCUAGGAUGCUGGCGUAAUGGUUGUAAGCGACCCGUCUUGAAACACGGACCAAGGAGUCGAUCAACUGUACGAGUGUUUGGGUGUCAAACCCUCCGCGUAAUGAAAGUGAACGGAGGUGAGAGCCUUUACAGGUGCAUCAUCGACCGAUCCAGAUGUCUUCGGAUGGAUUUGAGUAUGAGUAUCGUUGAUCGGACCCGAAAGAUGGUGAACUAUACGUGAAUAGAGUGAAGUCAGAGGAAACUCUGAUGGAGGCUCGCAGCGGUUCUGACGUGCAAAUCGAUCGUCAAAUUUGCGUAUAGGACUAAUCGAACCA